CCCUUAGAUGUCCUGGGCCGCACGCGCGCUACACUGAUGCAUUCAACGAGUUUUUCCUUGGCCGAGAGGCCUGGGCAAUCUUUUAAACGUGCAUCGUGAUAGGGAUAGAUUAUUGCAAUUAUUAAUCUUGAACGAGGAAUUCCUAGUAAACGCAAAUCAUCAAUUUGCAUUGAUUACGUCCCUGCCCUUUGUACACACCGCCCGUCGCACCUACCGAUUGAAUGGUCCGGUGAAGCCUCGGGAUUGUGGCCAGUUCACUUUAUUGGGAGUUGGCUGCGAGAACUUGUCUAAACCUUAUCAUUUAGAGGAAGGUGAAGUCGUAACA
This 325-nucleotide ribosomal RNA is filed under the name uncultured eukaryote. RNAcentral describes it as "partial 18S ribosomal RNA". It matches the Rfam family "Eukaryotic small subunit ribosomal RNA", at positions 1470 to 1796 of the family's 1831-position model. The record is from RNAcentral.